GUCAAUUAUUGAUGAAUGGAUCAUGCUAUAAAAAGCAUGCUCUAAGGUUUGUUACAAGGUACAACUACAUGCACAACUGUGCUACUUUUGCAACCUCAUUCAUAUUUUCAUCUCAUGUCAUUUUUGGUUUCAUAAGAUGGAAUAAAAGAUAUUUUAUUUUAUUUUUCUCUCCAAACCAAACUUGCAGUUCCAGUUCCAGAUAAAAAGAAAGAGAGGAAGCUGGUGAAAAUUGAGGGAUAUGACCAGGAACAAUAACGAUGAAACUACCAUCGAAGGAGAAGAAUGCUGUCUUGUUAUUUUCUCUCAAAUUCCUUGUCGGUUGGCUAAAAACACCAUAUAGGUUACUAGUUAGAAUAAUACUAUACAUCUAAAUGUUUUAUGAAUUAAGUCUAAUUAAAUUAAAUAAUAAGAUUUAGAAUAAUAUUAACAUAAUUGAUUUUGUUAUAUUAGACCAACUUAGUUAAAUUUAGUAGUUAGAAUAAGAGUCCUGCUAGGGAGCCAAUGGACUAUUCUAUACGUACAAUGGGUUAUUGAGUUACAAAAUGAACAUCUUCUAUACUAUCUAGAAUAACCAUUCGAGUACUAAGGAUAAUAAAUCUUCCCAAAAGCUUAAACUGAUUUUUGGGUGAUCGAACUCUUGACCUUUCGGAUCUAGAGCUCUAAUACCAUAUCAUGAUACCACUCAUCCCAAAAACUUCAGU
This is a non-coding RNA of Arachis ipaensis, 701 nucleotides long. NCBI's taxonomy places the organism in Eukaryota, Viridiplantae, Streptophyta, Magnoliopsida, Fabales, Fabaceae. The record is from RefSeq and is a predicted model, not a curated record.